GGGUUUAGCUCAGUGGUAGAGUGCAUGCUUAGCAUGUGCAAGGUCCUGGGUUCAAUCCCCAGUAUGUCCA
RNAcentral lists this transfer RNA (70 nucleotides) under Camelus bactrianus (Bactrian camel). It matches the Rfam family "tRNA". Rfam says of the family: Transfer RNA (tRNA) molecules are approximately 80 nucleotides in length. Lineage: Eukaryota; Metazoa; Chordata; Mammalia; Artiodactyla; Camelidae. The record is from Rfam by way of RNAcentral. RNAcentral also lists the same sequence under 2 other names.